ACGGGAGGCAGCAGUGAGGAAUAUUGGUCAAUGGGCGAAAGCCUGAACCAGCCAAGUAGCGUGAGGGAUGACUGCCCUAUGGGUUGUAAACCUCUUUUGUUGGGGAAUAAAGUUAGCCACGUGUGGCUAUUUGUAUGUACCCUUCGAAUAAGCAUCGGCUAAUUCCGUGCCAGCAGCCGCGGUAAUACGGAAGAUGCGAGCGUUAUCCGGAUUUAUUGGGUUUAAAGGGAGCGUAGGCGGUCUGUUAAGUCAGCGGUUAAAUGUCAGUGCCCAACAUUGGCAUGCCGUUGAUACUGGCGGACUUGAAUACACACAAGGAAGGUGGAAUUCGUCGUGUAGCGGUGAAAUGCUUAGAUAUGACGAAGAACUCCGAUUGCGAAGGCAGCCUUCUGGGGUGCGAUUGACGCUGAGGCUCGAAAGCGCGGGUAUCAAACAGGAUUAGAUACCCUGGUA
Molecule: ribosomal RNA, 453 nt
Filed under: uncultured Paraprevotella sp.
Lineage: Bacteria; Pseudomonadati; Bacteroidota; Bacteroidia; Bacteroidales; Prevotellaceae
Description: partial 16S ribosomal RNA
Rfam family: Bacterial small subunit ribosomal RNA
Source: RNAcentral